AAAAAAAAAAAUUUGCUUGAGUCGAAUGCAUCUAUGAUUUAUGAUGAUGAGAGAUGAUCAAUGUUUGAUGAUGAAAUUGCUUGUUUUAUGUGAUAAGGAUUUGAUGUUUGUUUAGCUUUCGAUUCAACGGGACUUAGAAGCGAAUUAUUGCUAGGAAUCACACUUUGUGCAUUGCUUUGGUUGAAUGUUUUGUAUUUUAAAUUUGGAAUUAAUUUGUGCUAGAUCAUGCUAUGUUCGGUUUUAGAACUCAC
Molecule: long non-coding RNA, 251 nt
Filed under: Erythranthe guttata (spotted monkey flower)
Lineage: Eukaryota; Viridiplantae; Streptophyta; Magnoliopsida; Lamiales; Phrymaceae
Description: long non-coding RNA (EGUT_LNC003025)
Source: RNAcentral